UACAGAGACCUCGAGCGUUAUCCGGAUUUACUGGGCGUAAAGGGUCCGCAGGUGGUUUUGUAAGUCUUCGGUUAAAUUCUUGAGCUCAACUCGAGAACCGCCGAGGAAACUAUAAGACUAGAGACUGGGAGAGGCAAGCGGAAUUGCCGGUGUAGUAGUAAAAUGCGUUAAUAUCGGCAAGAACACCAAAUGCGAAGGCAGCUUGCUAGAACAGUUCUGACACUCAGGGACGAAAGCGUGGGGAGCGAUA
RNAcentral lists this ribosomal RNA (250 nucleotides) under uncultured bacterium. RNAcentral describes it as "partial 16S ribosomal RNA". It matches the Rfam family "Bacterial small subunit ribosomal RNA", at positions 524 to 773 of the family's 1533-position model. The record is from RNAcentral.